This 1340-nucleotide ribosomal RNA is filed under the name uncultured bacterium. RNAcentral describes it as "partial 16S ribosomal RNA". It matches the Rfam family "Bacterial small subunit ribosomal RNA", at positions 28 to 1381 of the family's 1533-position model. The record is from RNAcentral.
GACGAACGCUGGCGGCGUGCUUAACACAUGCAAGUCGAACGGUAAGGCUCCAGCUUGCUGGGGUACACGAGUGGCGAACGGGUGAGUAACACGUGGGUGACCUGCCCUGCACUUCGGGAUAAGCCUGGGAAACUGGGUCUAAUACCGGAUAGGACCGCACCGUGAGGGUGUGGUGGAAAGUUUUUUCGGUGUGGGAUGGGCCCGCGGCCUAUCAGCUUGUUGGUGGGGUAAUGGCCUACCAAGGCGGCGACGGGUAGCCGGCCUGAGAGGGUGGACGGCCACAUUGGGACUGAGACACGGCCCAGACUCCUGCGGGAGGCAGCAGUGGGGAAUAUUGCACAAUGGGCGGAAGCCUGAUGCAGCGACGCCGCGUGGGGGAUGACGGCCUUCGGGUUGUAAACUCCUUUCACUAUCGACGAAGGGUUUCUGACGGUAGAUGGAGAAGAAGCACCGGCUAACUACGUACCAGCAGCCGCGGUAAUACGUAGGGUGCGAGCGUUGUCCGGAAUUACUGGGCGUAAAGAGCUCGUAGGUGGUUUGUCGCGUCGUCUGUGAAAUUCCGGGGCUUAACUCCGGGCGUGCAGGCGAUACGGGCAUAACUUGAGUACUGUAGGGGAGACUGGAAUUCCUGGUGUAGCGGUGAAAUGCGCAGAUAUCAGGAGGAACACCGGUGGCGAAGGCGGGUCUCUGGCAGUAACUGACGCUGAGGAGCGAAAGCAUGGGGAGCGAACAGGAUUAGAUACCCUGGUAGUCCAUGCCGUAAACGGUGGGCGCUAGGUGUGGGUUUCCUUCCACGGGAUCCGUGCCGUAGCUAACGCAUUAAGCGCCCCGCCUGGGGAGUACGGCCGCAAGGCUAAAACUCAAAGGAAUUGACGGGGGCCCGCACAAGCGGCGGAGCAUGUGGAUUAAUUCGAUGCAACGCGAAGAACCUUACCUGGGCUUGACAUAUACAGGAUCGCGCCAGAGAUGGUGUUUCCCUUGUGGCUUGUAUACAGGUGGUGCAUGGUUGUCGUCAGCUCGUGUCGUGAGAUGUUGGGUUAAGUCCCGCAACGAGCGCAACCCUUGUCUUAUGUUGCCAGCACGUUGUGGUGGGGACUCGUAAGAAACUGCCGGGGUUAACUCGGAGGAAGGUGGGGAUGACGUCAAAUCAUCAUGCCCCUUAUGUCCAGGGCUUCACACAUGCUACAAUGGUCGGUACAGUGGGUUGCCAGUCCGUGAGGGCGAGCUAAUCCCGCAAAGCCGGUCUCAGUUCGGAUCGGGGUCUGCAACUCGACCCCGUGAAGUCGGAGUCGCUAGUAAUCGCAGAUCAGCAACGCUGCGGUGAAUACGUUCCCGGGCCU